UACGUAGGGUGCAAGCGUUGUCCGGAAUUAUUGGGCGUAAAGAGCUCGUAGGCGGCCUGUUGCGUCCGCUGUGAAAGCCCGGGGCUUAACCCCGGGUCGGCAGUGGAUACGGGCAGGCUAGAGGUAGGUAGGGGAGAAUGGAAUUCCCGGUGUAGCGGUGAAAUGCGCAGAUAUCGGGAGGAACACCGGUGGCGAAGGCGGUUCUCUGGGCCUUACCUGACGCUGAGGAGCGAAAGCGUGGGGGAGCGAACAGG
Molecule: ribosomal RNA, 254 nt
Filed under: uncultured bacterium
Lineage: Bacteria
Description: partial 16S ribosomal RNA
Rfam family: Bacterial small subunit ribosomal RNA
Source: RNAcentral